This 283-nucleotide long non-coding RNA is filed under the name Chloebia gouldiae (Gouldian finch). Its description in RNAcentral is "Erythrura gouldiae (Gouldian finch) lncRNA (ENSEGOG00005006341.1)". The record is from RNAcentral. Lineage: Eukaryota; Metazoa; Chordata; Aves; Passeriformes; Passeridae.
GAACUUUAAAAGCUGUGUAUCACCCUCAAAGCCUGACCUGCAUAUUCAGUUUCCCUGUCAUUUCAAGGUGCAGACAAAGUGAGUCUGGUGAGCAGCUCUGGACCAGCCUGUCAUUUCAGUCGAGCUGUGUCUUUGCACUGAUAUCAUUUAGAGGACACUGGAGAUGGUGGAAGAACCAGAAAGCUACGCUGCUCUUUCAUGGUGUAAGCUACUGCUGAGAAUCAUAAAGAAGAAGAAAAAACCCUUAAUCUGUAGUUCUGAAUAAAGUGACAUUAAGAGAACA